ACUGUUGUAAUUUUGUCAUCAUUAUAUAGUUUAUGUAUUAUAAUUGCAAAAUAAAAUUUAGCAACUCACAUAGUUAUCAUUCAUCACUGCUUAAAAAUGUAAGUUGAAAAAUAAACUCUUAAAGCAUGAAAUAAGAUACAGAAUCAGUAAAUUCGAUUUUAAUGUGGGUAUAUUAUCAGUGAACUAAUCAUUAAAUAUUUGUAAUCGUUCAUAAAAUAUUGGCCCCUUUCAUAAUGAUGUUGUUCAGAAAUGAAGGCCACAAUGCUAAUGUUGUCCACACGAUGGCGCCACAGGAUAGAAAAUACUUCAAUAUAUGUUCACAGAUUUUAAAAUGUUCCAUUUAUGUGCAUAAAUAUAAAAUGCAUAUACAUGCAUUCUAUUUUCAUAAACUUUAAUAAAGCCCAAUAUAGUAUUUAUGCAAAAACUGUAAUCCCCUAAGUACCAUUACGUUUUUUUUCUUAUUUUUAAUAGUAUUGACAACAUAUUUCUCAAGUUAUCACACAUAAAGUGAAGAAAAGAAACUAUAUUACUAACCUAUUUUCAUAUCUAUUUUCACCUUGACUUAAACCACAUUGUUUCUUUUACCUUCUGUGUUGUUGCCUACAACACUUCAGUUAGAGGACUGGGAAAUAGCAAACAGGGGAAAAAGGCAUGACUUAUUUUGCAUACAGCUAGCCAAACCUGUUUAAACUGUUGUCAUAGCCAAGGCUUUUUAUUGGAACAGAAAACAGCAAGGGUCCAUAGAAAAAUACUGUUGGAAGUUUUUUUUUUUUCCACCAAGGCAGCUCAAGGAGGUUGGACACACAAGUACAGUGGCUCUUUUGGGCCAAGCCAACAUCAAAGUUAGUUCACUAACUUUACAUUCUAGUUAUGUUGGCUUGGCACAAGCCAACAUACUGUUAUGCUAUUUAAACUUCUUAUUCUUAUGUUGGCUUGGCACAAGCCAACAUACUGUUAUGCUAUUUAAACUUAUUUUUAUUUUUAUUUUUAUUAUUAUUAUUCUUCUGAGACAGAAUUCCAAACGUAUCUCCUCCUAGGGCUUUUAAGCCACAAGCCCCAAACUCGGCAGACACCUGCGGGAUAUAGCGGUGCUGGUUGCUAUAUCUUUUUAGACUGAUCAGACUUACAGUUUAUUUAUUAUUAAUUUUUAUAAGUCAGAAAUUUCCCAUAGACUCCCAUUAUCUGAGAAAAAUUGCGCCUCUACAGGAGCAAUUCCCGGGACUGAGGGAGGAGUCUGCCUUAGUUUCACUUUUUAAAUCGGUUAAAAAAAAUACAUAUAAAUACAUGAAUUUAUUUCACUCUGACAAGCUAAACCAACAUAUUUGAAUAUUACAGGGGUCAGGGCUUAUUAAAAAUGUAUAUCUGGCCACAGAAGAGAGAGAAAGACGAGAGAGAAUUCACCGCUCCGUUCAGCGAGUGGUCUUACAACGGGCUCACAACAAACGAAUUUAUUCUUGUUUAAGACCUUUUAAAAAUAAAAUAUUACAGCGAUUGCACACAAUCCACCCAUUAGAACAAACCAAGAGCUAAAAGUGGGUGUUUUUCAGCUGUUGAAGUUUGAAAAUGAACGAUUUGCGUCAGCUCUUUUUGACAGCGCGAGACGGCGCGGCUUCUCCUGCACUCGCACUACGAGCUCACAAGAAACGAAUUUAUUCUUGUUUAAGACCUUAUAAAAAUAAAAUAUUACAGCGAUUGCACACAAUCCACCCAUUAGAACAAACCAAGAGCUAAAAGUGGGUGUUUUUCCGCUGUUGAAGUUUGAAAAUGAACGAUUUGCGUCAGCUCUUUUGACAGCGCGAGACGGCGCGGCUUCUCCUGCACUCGCACUACGAGCUCACAAGAAACGAAUUUAUUCUUAUUUAGGACCUUUUAAAAAUAAAAUAUUACAGCGAUUGCACACAAUCCACCCAUUAGAACAAACCAAGAGCUAAAAGUGGGUGUUUUUCAGCUGUUGAAGUGUGGAAAAUGAACGAUUUGCAUCAGCUCUUUUGACAGCGCGAGACGGCGCGGCUUCUCGUGCAGUGACACAACGAGCUCGCAAGAAACGAAUUUAUUCUUGUUUAAGACCUUUUAAAAAUAAAAUAUUACAGCGAUUGCACACAAUCCGCCCAAUAGAACAAACCAAGAGCUAAAAGAGGGUGUUUUUCAGCUGUUGAAGUGUGGAAAAUGAAGGAUUUGCGUCAUCUAUUUUGACAACGCGAGACCGCGCGGCUUCACAACGACCUCACAACAAACGACUUUAUUCCUGUUUAAGACCUUUUAAAAAUAAAAGAUUUCAGCGAUUGCACACAAUCCACCCAUUAGAACAAACCAAGAGCUAAAAGUGGGUGUUUUUCAGCUGUUGAAGUGUGGAAAAUGAAGGAUUUGCGUCAGCUCUUUUGACAGCGCGAGACGGCGCGGCUUCUCGUGCAGUGACACAACGAGCUCGCAAGAAACGAAUUUAUUCUUGUUUAAGACCUUUUAAAAAUAAAAUAUUACAGCGAUUGCACACAAUCAACCCAUUAGAACAAACCAAGAGCUAAAAGUGGGUGUUUUUCAGCUGUUGAAGUGUGGAAAAUGAAGGAUUUGCGUCAGCUAUUUUGACAAGGCGAGACCCCGCGGCUUCACAACGAUCUCACAACAAACGAGUUUAUUCCUGUUUAAGACCUUUUAAAAAUAAAAUAUUACAGCGAUUGCACACAAUCCACCCAUUAGAACACACCAUCGGCUAAAUGCAGAUUUUUGUGAGCUGGUAAAUGGUGAAAUUGAAUGAUUUGCAGCAGACUCUCUGACGGCUCGAGACUUCAACACUGGCAUGGGGAAAAAGGUCUACAUACUGAAACUACAGCCUUUUACAUUAAAACACUCCAGCGAAUCAGUACAAAACAAUUAGAAGAAUAUAUUAUAGAGAAAAUGAGUGCUGGUGAGAUAUUUUUGUCUUAGGGCAGAAAAAAAGACAUUGCAUCGAUCUCUCGAGUUACAGAGGACGCUGAUUCUGGCUUUUCGGUGCAAGACAAAUCAUUCGUCUUGACAGCUUUUUUUAUAUGUCUAUAUUUUGUAUUGUCAAUAAUAAAUAUUAUGAAAAAAAUAACUGUUGUAAUUUUGUCAUCAUUAUAUAGUUUAUGUAUUAUAAUUGCAAAAAAAUAAUUUAUCAACUCACAUAGUUAUCAUUCAUCACUACUUGAAAAAUGUAAGUUGAAAAAAAAUAAACUCUUAAAGCAUGAAAUAAGAUACAGAAUCAGUAAAUUCGAUUUUAAUGUGGGUAUAUUAUCAGUGAACUAAUCAUUAAACAUUUGUAAUCAUUCAAAAAAUAUUGGCCCC
This is a long non-coding RNA of Cyprinus carpio carpio, 3300 nucleotides long. The record is from Ensembl. Lineage: Eukaryota; Metazoa; Chordata; Actinopteri; Cypriniformes; Cyprinidae.